AGUUAAGUGCUUGCACUUAACACGAGUGGCGGACGGGUGCGUAACGCGUAUGCAACUUACCCUGUACCGGGGGAUAGCCCGGAGAAAUCCGGAUUAAUACCCCAUAAAGUAUAAAUAGGGCAUCCUAUUAAUAUUAAAGAUUUAUUGGUACGGGAUGGGCAUGCGUCUGAUUAGCUAGUUGGUACGGUAAUGGCGUACCAAGGCGACGAUCAGUAGGGGUUCUGAGAGGAAGAUCCCCCACACUGGCACUGAGAUACGGGCCAGACUCCUACGGGAGGCAGCAGUAGGGAAUAUUGGUCAAUGGGCGCAAGCCUGAACCAGCCAUGCCGCGUGCAGGAAGACGGCCUUCUGGGUUGUAAACUGCUUUUAUUAGGGAACAAAGAGGCACUGCGGUGCAAGUUGCGUGUACCUAAUGAAUAAGCACCGGCUAACUCCGUGCCAGCAGCCGCGGUAAUACGGAGGGUGCAAGCGUUGUCCGGAUUUAUUGGGUUUAAAGGGUGCGUAGGCGGUCAGAUAAGUCAGUGGUGAAAUACUACAGCUCAACUGUAGAGGUGCCAUUGAAACUGUCAGACUUGAGUGCAGAUGAGGUAGGCGGAAUUUAUGGUGUAGCGGUGAAAUGCAUAGAUACCAUAAAGAACACCGAUAGCGAAGGCAGCUUACUAGACUGCAACUGACGCUGAGGCACGAAAGCAUGGGUAGCGAACAGGAUUAGAUACCCUGGUAGUCCAUGCUGUAAACGAUGAU
This 744-nucleotide ribosomal RNA is filed under the name uncultured bacterium. Its description in RNAcentral is "bacterial SSU rRNA". It matches the Rfam family "Bacterial small subunit ribosomal RNA", at positions 70 to 813 of the family's 1533-position model. The record is from RNAcentral.